GACGAACGCUGGCGGCGUGCCUAAUACAUGCAAGUUGAGCGCUGAAGGUUGGUACUUGUACCGACUGGAUGAGCAGCGAACGGGUGAGUAACGCGUGGGGAAUCUGCCUUUGAGCGGGGGACAACAUUUGGAAACGAAUGCUAAUACCGCAUAAAAACUUUAAACACAAGUUUUAAGUUUGAAAGAUGCAAUUGCAUCACUCAAAGAUGAUCCCGCGUUGUAUUAGCUAGUUGGUGAGGUAAAGGCUCACCAAGGCGAUGAUACAUAGCCGACCUGAGAGGGUGAUCGGCCACAUUGGGACUGAGACACGGCCCAAACUCCUACGGGAGGAAGCAGUAGGGAAUCUUCGGCGAUGGACGAAAGUCUGACCGAGCAACGCCGCGUGAGUGAAGAAGGUUGUCGGAUGGUAAAACUCGGUUGGUAGAGAAGAACGUUGGUGAGAGUGGAAAGCUCAUAAAGUGACGGUAACUACAGAGAAAGGGACGGCUAACUACGUG
This 497-nucleotide ribosomal RNA is filed under the name uncultured bacterium. RNAcentral describes it as "partial 16S ribosomal RNA". It matches the Rfam family "Bacterial small subunit ribosomal RNA", at positions 28 to 507 of the family's 1533-position model. The record is from RNAcentral.